GGAAUUGACGGGGGCCCGCACAAGCGGUGGAGCAUGUGGUUUAAUUCGACGCAACGCGAAGAACCUUACCAGGGCUUGACAUCCCCUGACCGCGUAUGAAAGUACGUUUUCACCCUCGGGUGACAGGGAGACAGGUGGUGCAUGGUUGUCGUCAGCUCGUGUCGUGAGAUGUUGGGUUAAGUCCCGCAACGAGCGCAACCCCUACGUUUAGUUGCUAACAGGUGAAGCUGAGCACUCUAGACGAACUGCCGUUGACAAAACGGAGGAAGGUGGGGAUGACGUCAAAUCAUCAUGCCCCUUAUGUUCUGGGCUACACACGUGCUACAAUGGCCGGUACAGACGGAGGCGAAGCCGCGAGGCGGAGCAAAUCCGAAAAAGCCGGUCUCAGUUCGGAUUGCAGGCUGCAAUUCGCCUGCAUGAAGUCGGAAUCGCUAGUAAUCGCAGGUCAGCAUACUGCGGUGAAUACGUUCCCGGGCCUU
This 479-nucleotide ribosomal RNA is filed under the name uncultured Pelotomaculum sp. RNAcentral describes it as "bacterial SSU rRNA". It matches the Rfam family "Bacterial small subunit ribosomal RNA", at positions 906 to 1382 of the family's 1533-position model. The record is from RNAcentral. Lineage: Bacteria; Bacillati; Bacillota; Clostridia; Eubacteriales; Desulfotomaculaceae.